CUGGCGGCGUGGAUAAGGCAUGCAAGUCAAGGGGGCCCGCAAGGGCAACCGGCAGACGAGGUAGUAAUAAUUAAGUACGCACCCGGAGUCGGGCAUAGCUAUCCGAAAGGAUAGGUAAUUCCCGAUAGUCUCGCAAGAGUAAAGUUUUUCGCUCCGGGAGCGGCUUGAUCGGUAUCAGCUAGUUGGUAAGGUAACGGCUUACCAAGGCUAUGACGCCUAGGGGACCUGAGAGGGUGACCCCCACCGAUGGGACUGAGAUACGGCCCAUACACCUACGGGUGGCUGCAGUCGAGAAUCUUCCGCAAUGGACGAAAGUCUGACGGAGCGACGCCGCGUGGAGGAUGAAGUGCUUCGGCAUGUAAACUCCUUUUGCCAGGGAAAAAGUUUAUUGAUUGUACCUGGAGAAUAAGAGGUUGCUAAACUCGUGCCAGCAGCAGCGGUAAUACGAGUGCCUCGAGCGUUAUCCGGAAUCAUUGGGCGUAAAGGGUGCGUAGGCGGCGAUGUUAGUCUCCCGUAAAAUCUUUCGGCUCAACCGAGAGUCCGCGGGAGAAACGGCAUUGCUAGAGGAUGGUAGGGGUCUCUGGAACUCAUGGUGUAGCGGUGAAAUGCGUUGAUAUCAUGGGGAACACCAAAAGCGAAGGCAAGAGACUGGACCACUCCUGACGCUGAAGCACGAAAGCGUGGGUCGCGAAUGGGAUUAGAUACCCUGGUAGUCC
RNAcentral lists this ribosomal RNA (716 nucleotides) under uncultured bacterium. Its description in RNAcentral is "bacterial SSU rRNA". It matches the Rfam family "Bacterial small subunit ribosomal RNA", at positions 36 to 796 of the family's 1533-position model. The record is from RNAcentral.